UACGAAGGGGGCUAGCGUUGCUCGGAAUCACUGGGCGUAAAGGGUGCGUAGGCGGGUCUUUAAGUCAGGGGUGAAAUCCUGGAGCUCAACUCCAGAACUGCCUUUGAUACUGAAGAUCUUGAGUUCGGGAGAGGUGAGUGGAACUGCGAGUGUAGAGGUGAAAUUCGUAGAUAUUCGCAAGAACACCAGUGGCGAAGGCGGCUCACUGGCCCGAUACUGACGCUGAGCACGAAAGCGUGGGGAGCAAACAGG
This 252-nucleotide ribosomal RNA is filed under the name uncultured bacterium. Its description in RNAcentral is "partial 16S ribosomal RNA". It matches the Rfam family "Bacterial small subunit ribosomal RNA", at positions 524 to 776 of the family's 1533-position model. The record is from RNAcentral.